RNAcentral lists this ribosomal RNA (631 nucleotides) under uncultured Candidatus Poseidoniales archaeon. RNAcentral describes it as "bacterial SSU rRNA". It matches the Rfam family "Archaeal small subunit ribosomal RNA", at positions 291 to 923 of the family's 1478-position model. The record is from RNAcentral. Lineage: Archaea; Methanobacteriati; Thermoplasmatota; Candidatus Poseidoniia; Candidatus Poseidoniales.
CGGAGAUGGAUUCUGAGACACGAAUCCAGACCCUACGGGGUGCAGCAGGCGCGAAAACUUGGCAAUGCGAGCAAUCGUGACCAGGGAACUCCAAGUGGCUGGGGUAAUACCCAGUUUUUUCUUGACUCUUCAAAGGUCUUGGAAUAAGGGGUGGGUAAGGACGGUGCCAGCCGCCGCGGUAAUACCGGCGCCUCAAGUGGUAGUCGCUUUUAUUGGGCCUAAAACGUCCGUAGCCGGUCUGGUGCAUUCGUGGGUAAAUCAACCCGCUCAACGGGUUGAAUUCUGCGAGCACGGCCAGACUUGGGACCGGGAGAGGUGUGGGGUACUCUCAGGGUAGGGGUAAAAUCCUGUCAUCCUGAGAGGACCACCUGUUGCGAAGGCGCCACACUAGAACGGAUUCGACGGUCAGGGACGAAACCUAGGGGCACGAACCGGAUUAGAUACCCGGGUAGUCCUAGGUGUAAACGCUGUGGACUUGAUGUUGGGGGUGCUCCGAGCACUCUCAGUGUCGAAGCGAAGGUGAUAAGUCCACUGCCUGGGGAGUACGGUCGCAAGGCUGAAACUUAAAGGAAUUGGCGGGGGAGCACUGCAACCUGAGGAUUGUGCGGUUUAAUUGGACUCAACGCCGGGA